GACGAACGCUGACGGCGUGCUUAACACAUGCAAGUCGAACGGUGAAGCGCCUUCCUUUUUGGUGGGUGUGGAUGAGUGGCGAACGGGUGAGUAACACGUGAGUAACCUGCCCCCUUCUUCUGGAUAACCGCAUGAAAGUUUGGCUAAUACGGGAUAUUCUGGGUCUGUCGCAUGAUGGGUCUGGGAAAGAUAUUGUUUCGGUGGGGGAUGGGCUCGCGGCCUAUCAGCUUGUUGGUGGGGUGAUGGCCUACCAAGGCGGUGACGGGUAGCCGGCCUGAGAGGGUGGACGGUCACACUGGGACUGGGACACGGCCCAGACUCCUACGGGAGGCAGCAGUGGGGAAUAUUGCACAAUGGGCGCAAGCCUGAUGCAGCGACGCCGCGUGAGGGAUGGAGGCCUUCGGGUUGUGAACCUCUUUCGCCAGUGAAGCAGGCCUGCCUCGUUUGUGGGUGGGUUGACGGUAGCUGGAGAAGAAGCGCCGGCUAACUACGUG
Molecule: ribosomal RNA, 494 nt
Filed under: uncultured bacterium
Lineage: Bacteria
Description: partial 16S ribosomal RNA
Rfam family: Bacterial small subunit ribosomal RNA
Source: RNAcentral